GGCAACGUGGCGGAGUGGUUAUCGCGCUAGCCUAGAAAGCUAGUUCCUUCGGGAGCGUCAGUUCGACUCUGGCCGUUGUCG
Molecule: transfer RNA, 81 nt
Filed under: Blumeria hordei DH14
Lineage: Eukaryota; Fungi; Ascomycota; Leotiomycetes; Helotiales; Erysiphaceae
Description: tRNA-Ser (AGA) (tRNA-Ser-AGA-4-1)
Rfam family: tRNA
About the family: Transfer RNA (tRNA) molecules are approximately 80 nucleotides in length. Their secondary structure includes four short double-helical elements and three loops (D, anti-codon, and T loops).
Source: RNAcentral